This 408-nucleotide RNase P RNA is filed under the name Thermopetrobacter sp. Its description in RNAcentral is "RNase P RNA component class A". It matches the Rfam family "Bacterial RNase P class A". From Rfam's summary of the family: Ribonuclease P (RNase P) is a ubiquitous endoribonuclease, found in archaea, bacteria and eukarya as well as chloroplasts and mitochondria. Its best characterised activity is the generation of mature 5'-ends of tRNAs by cleaving the 5'-leader elements of precursor-tRNAs. Lineage: Bacteria; Pseudomonadati; Pseudomonadota; Alphaproteobacteria. The record is from RNAcentral.
CCGGCCGGACGGAUGGCCGCCGGCCCCUUUCGGGCCGGAGGAAAGUCCGGGCUCCACGGAAACGGGACGCCGGGUAACGCCCGGCGAGGGAGCCCGUCGGCGACGAUGGGCGAACCUCAGGGAAAGCGCCACAGAAAGCAGACCGCCCGGCCAGAUCGGGCCGGGCAAGGGUGAAAGGGUGCGGUAAGAGCGCACCUGGGCCUUCGGCAACGAAGGCUGCACGGCAAGCCCCGUCCGGAGCAAGACCGCAUAGGGACGGCGCGCUCCUCGCCGCAGGAGCCGGGCGCGUUUCCGGCCCGCCGCCGUCCGGGUUGGUCGCAUGAGGCGCAUGGCGACAUGCGUCCCAGAUGAAUGGCCAUCGCCCUGUGCUUCAGGGAACAGAACCCGGCUUACAGUCCGGCCGGCGCA